GAAGAAACGGCUCUUACUAAUAUUAAGAGCUAAUGACGGUACCUGAAGAAUAAGCACCGGCUAACUACGUGCCAGCAGCCGCGGUAAUACGUAGGGUGCAAGCGUUAAUCAGAAUUACUGGGCGUAAAGCGUGCGCGCGCGGCUAUGCAAGACAGAUGUGAAAUCCCCGGGCUCAACCUGGGAACUGCAUUUGUGACUGCGUGGCUAGAGUACGGUAGAGGGGGAUGGAAUUCCGCGUGUAGCAGUGAAAUGCGUAGAUAUGCGGAAGAACACCGAUGGCGAACGCAAUCCCCUGGACCUGUACUGACGCUCAUGCACGAAAGCGUGGGGAGCAAACAAGAUUAGAUACCCUGGUAGUCCACGCCCUAAACUAUGUCAACUGGUUGUUGGACGGCUUGCUGUUCAGUAACGAAGCUAACGCGUGAAGUUGACCGCCUGGGGAGUACGGCCGCAGGGUUGAAACUCAGAGGAAUUGACGGGGACCCGCACAAGCGGUGGAUGAUGUGGUUUAAUUCGAUGCAACGCGAAGAACCUUACCCAGGCUCGAACGGCAGAUGACAUCCUACGAAAGUACGCUCCCGCAAGGGCAUCUGUCGAGGUGCUGCAUGGCUGUCGUCAGCUCGUGUCGUGAGAUGUUGGGUUAAGUCCCGCAACGAGCGCAACCCUUGUCUUCUG
Molecule: ribosomal RNA, 675 nt
Filed under: uncultured Polaromonas sp.
Lineage: Bacteria; Pseudomonadati; Pseudomonadota; Betaproteobacteria; Burkholderiales; Comamonadaceae
Description: bacterial SSU rRNA
Rfam family: Bacterial small subunit ribosomal RNA
Source: RNAcentral